This 253-nucleotide ribosomal RNA is filed under the name uncultured Candidatus Solibacter sp. RNAcentral describes it as "partial 16S ribosomal RNA". It matches the Rfam family "Bacterial small subunit ribosomal RNA", at positions 524 to 776 of the family's 1533-position model. The record is from RNAcentral. Lineage: Bacteria; Pseudomonadati; Acidobacteriota; Terriglobia; Bryobacterales; Solibacteraceae.
UACGUAGGCAGCAAGCGUUGUUCGGAAUUACUGGGCGUAAAGGGUGCGUAGGCGGCUUUUUAAGUUUGUCGUGAAAUCUCCCGGCUCAACCGGGAGGGUGCGGCGAAUACUGAGAAGCUAGAGUGUGGGAGAGGAAAGUGGAAUUCCUGGUGUAGCGGUGAAAUGCGUAGAUAUCAGGAGGAACACCGGUGGUGUAAACGGCUUUCUGGACCAUAACUGACGCUGAGGCACGAAAGCGUGGGUAGCAAACAGG